UCAGUAACACGUAGUCAACCUGCCCUGGAGACAAGGACAACCCCGGGAAACUGGGAUUAAUCCUUGAUAGGUCAUCUCACCUGGANAGGAGAGAUGGCUUAAAGGGGUACGCGGGCUUCUUCCGCGAAUUCGCUCCAGGAUGGGACUGCGUCCGAUCAGGCUGUUGGCGGGGUAAUGGCCCACCAAACCUGUAACCGGUACGGGCCUUGAGAGAGGUGGCCCGGAGAUGGACACUGAGAGAAGGGUCCAGGUCCUACGGGGCGCAGCAGGCGCGAAACCUUCGCAAUGCGCGAAAGCGUGACGAGGUUAAUCCGAGUGACUUCCGCUGAGGAGGUCUUUUGUCACCUGUAAAUAGGCAGGCGAAUAAGGGGAGGGCAAGCCUGGUGCCA
Molecule: ribosomal RNA, 389 nt
Filed under: unidentified archaeon
Lineage: Archaea
Description: bacterial SSU rRNA
Rfam family: Archaeal small subunit ribosomal RNA
Source: RNAcentral